AACAAGAGUGAAAAGACUGCUUCUUUAACAUUUUCACAGGUACUUCUCUCUUUAAAACCACCACCUUUAAUAGUUCAGGUUGUUACAGAACCGACAAAAAGUCCCCAAUGUGUCGACAACAUUCAUUUUUUGACUGUUAGGAAAUUCGUACCCCAACACCGAAAAACACAUCAAGCACAACACAAAUAUAAAGUGCAAGAAAAUAAGAACACAAGAAUGGUCACCCAGUUCGGCCUUGAAGGCUUAAUCUGGGGGGCUCAGGUCAGCCGAAUCCACUAGUGCAAUUCUGCCUCACAGAGAGAGUGUACAGUACAUAGAACCAAGAUAGAAAACCAAAUCAAUCAUCGACCCUAAAAUCGGAUCUCAAAUCUGGACAUAAACUCACAGCUUCCUCCCUAACCGGCUACAACUACAAAAACAAGACAGAUCACGCAUACAAGACCGUCCUCUAUUUACUAUAGUAUUUACAUUUAACCAGAAUCAUCCAAAUGGAGAAACAAUCUCCAGAUUCAAAGAGCCAAGAAAGGGAGAAGAAGAGUCGACCAACAGAGAGAGAGAAAAGGAGAUAUUAUCAAAACCGUAUGAAAUAAUAAUACCACCCUUCCAGCCGGUUAUCAAAACUAAGGGCCAACUCUAGUUUAAUCUCCACCAUUCAUUUAAUCCAAUGGUCCACAUCCAACCAGAAGAAACACAGAUCCGGGUCAUAUCAAAUACACGAAUCAGGAGCUGCCACGUGAUAUCUACCAACUUAAAAUACAGCAAAUGUCCAGAUUGCCCUCUCAUUAGUUGCUAAUUUGGAGAACCACGUUUUUUUUCUCCUUCAAUCUUUACCUUGGUUCUCAAAAUUGCACUCACUCUCUCAGUUGCUAAAUUGCACUAUUGUGGAAAGGCUGAACAACAUCAUUGCCUUAGGUACCUGCAAAGAAAAAUUACCCAGUAUCAAUGUUGAGAAGUGACAAACACAUUCUAAACUUACUCACAGGCAGAAUUUUUGUGCCCAUAUCAGAUGGGUUAAUGUCAGUAUGAAUUUUCUCUAACAUCAUUUCACCUAAAGAUAGUUUCUCUCUUAUGAAAUGAUACUUCACCUCAAUGUGCUUGGACCUUUCAUGAUAGACAGGGUUCUUGCUUAACAAUAAUGCACUCUGACUAUCAGUAAGAAUAACAGGUGAUGAAAAAAGAAAAUUCAGUUCACUUAAAAUUCCUUUCAGCCAUAUACAUUCUUUAACACAUUCAGUAAUUGCCACAUAUUCAGCUUCAGUACUAGAUAAAGUGACAAUUGGUUGACGUUGAGACUUCCAUGUGAUACAAUUAUCACCAAGUGUAAAGAAAAAAGCUGUGGUAGAUUUUCUUUGAUCUUUAUCUCCAGCAAAAUCAGAAUCCACGUACCCUUUAAGGGUUAAUGGUUCUGAUCCCUUUUUGUACACUAAUCCUACACUUAGUGUCCCAGCUAUAUACCGUAAUAGCCAUUUUAAGCCAGCCCAAUGUGGUUUCCCCGGGUUUGCCAUAAACCUACUUAAAAAACUGAUUGAAUAUGCUAGAUCAGGUCGUGUUGUUAUCAUAGAAAACAUUACUGAUCCUAUUGCAUUGGAGUAAGGGAUAUUUUCCAUGUCUUUGGCCUCAGAUUCAGUUUUAGGACAUUGGGCUGAGGAGAGAUUCAUGUGAGCAGCAAGUGGAACAUUAACAGACUUAGCUUCUUUCAUGCCAAACUUAGAUAAAACUUUAUGUAGGUAAGACUCUUGGGUUAUUAUUAACCUGCCUUCUUGUCUAUUCCUAGUUAUCACCAUUCCCAGUAUUUUCUUGGCAUUCCCUAAGUCUUUCAUGUCAAAUUCAGAUUUUAGGAGGUUCUUCAUUCUUUUUAUUUCAGCUUUGCUUGAACUGGCCAGCAGCAUAUCAUCUACAUACAAGAGUAGAUAUAUCUCGCUGCCAGGUUUGGAGUUAUAGUAAUAUAAGCAGUGAUCAUACUCACUUCUCCUAAAACCAAUUUUCACAACAUAUGUGUCAAACCGAACAUACCACUGUCUUGGACUUUGUUUGAGUCCAUAUAGUGAUUUCUGCAAUUUACAAACAUAAUUAGAUUUCUCCUUUUUCUCAAAACCUUGAGGUUUCUCCUUUUCCUCAAAACCUUGAGGUUGACACAUAUAGAUGUCCUCAUCCAAUUCCCCAUGCAAGAAGGCUGUUUUGACAUCUAAUUGUUCAAGUUCCCAAUUAAACUGAACAAUUAGAGCAAGUAUUAGCCUUAUUGUCUUAUAUUUGAUUAUAGGUGAAAAAAUUUCAUUGUAAUCAAUUCCCUCCCUUUGAGUGAACCCUUUGGCCACUAAUAUUGCCUUAUACCUUAAAGGGUCUGUUGGGGAAUUGCCUUCUUUAAGUUUAUAAAUCCACUUGCAUUGAACCACUCUCUGAUUUUUAGGUUUCUUCACAAGUUUCCAUGUUUUAUUAUCAAUCAGGGAUUUCAUUUCUUCCCUCAUGGCAUCUUUCCAAUUCUGAGAUUUAGAACAACUUAUAGCUUCAUCAUAAGUAUAAGGUUCAGCAUGUUCUAAGUUCUCACCAGUGAUAAGGGCAAAGUCUGUCAGAUUAUUAGUCUCAUAUCUUGGAUUGGGUUUAAUCUGGCUCCUUUCCCUAUCUCUCACUAAUUGAUAAUCUUGGGUACUAGUUUCAUUUUCAGGUGUCACAAUUUCAGUUUCAAUUUGGGCUGUUAUAACUUCACCUUCAUUUGUGUUGUCUGAUCUUACAUUUGGCUGUUCAUUUUCAGGUUCAGUUAUCUCAAUAGAAUUGUGACCCAAUCUUGCCAACUUCACCUCAUUCUGUGAAGUGCUAUUUUCAAUUGCCUCAUGUUUAUCCCUUUUACUCUCAUGGCAUCUCAGAUUCAUUAAACACCACAUUUCUACAGCUAAUGAUUUUAAUGUCUUUCUCACCUAGUACCCAUAACUUGUACCCUUUAACUCCUUCAGGGUACCCUAACAUGACACAUUUGGUGGCUCUAGGAUCUAACUUGCCUUCAACUUGAUGUGCAUAUGCAGCACAUCCAAAGACCCUAAUAUUAGACAGAUUUGGUGUUUUUUCAGUCCACAAUUCCUGAGGGGUCUUGAACUUUACAGAACUGCAUGGUGACCUAUUAAUUAGAUAGGCUGCAGUGCAUAAAGCUUCUGCCCAAAAACCUUUUGCUAGACUAGAACUUAUUAGCAUGCAUCUAACUUUAUUCAUUAGAGUUCUGUUCAUUCUUUCAGCUACCCCAUUUUGUUGGGGAGUAUGCUUAACAAUUCUAUGCCUAAUAAUUCCCUUUUGCCUGCAAAAGUUAUCAAAUUCUGCAUUACAGAAUUCCAACCCAUUAUCUGUCCUUAAGGUUUUUAAUUUUCUGCCCAAUUGAUUUUCAACCAUCGUUAACCAAAUUCUGAAAUUUUGAAAUGUUUCAGAUUUUGUCUUUAAAGGGUAUGUCCAGACCUUUCUAGAAUAAUCAUCAAUUAUAGAAAGAAAAUAUUUAUUCCCACCAAAAGUUGAGUGGCUUUCUGGACCCCACAAAUCUGAGUGGACAUAAUCUAAAGGUCUAUCUGUAGUCUGUGACCCCGUCUCAAAACUGACUCUAUGAGAUUUUCCAAGUACACACGUCUCACAAAAGUCAAGGGGCUCUAUAUUAUCUUUUCCAAGCAAUUUUUGAUCAUUUAGAUAUUUUAGCCCCUUAUUUCCAAUAUGUCCCAUUCUACAAUGCCACAAUUCAGAUUUACUUUCAGUAAUGGUUAAGGAUUUUGGAUAAUGGGAAUUAACAGUCUUACCCAUUAAGUAGUACAAACCAUUCCUCUUUGGUCCCUUCAUAACUACAAGAGAUCCUUUGAGAAUUUUCAAAGUAUUAUUUUCAGAUUUAAAAGUGUGUCCCUCAUCUUCAAGAAUUCCUAGUGAAAUGAGAUUUCUUUUUAGAUUUGGGACAUGUCUUACAUUUUUAAUCUGUCUGACACUACCGUCAUACAUUUUGAUUGUAAUGUCACCGAUUCCAAGAACAUUUUGUGAAUUAUUAUCACCCAUAUAUACUUUCCUGGGUUCUAUCUCCUUGUAGUUAUGAAACCAAGUUUUAUUUGGGCACAUAUGAAAUGUACAUCCAGAGUCAAGUAUCCAGUCAGUGUCUGUUUCAUCGUUAGACACAGUCAUAACAAGAAGGCUGUCAAGUUCUGAACUUACAGCAGCAUUAUUCAACUCAAUGUUAUUAGGUUCUUUUAACUUCUUCUUUAAUUUGAAGCAGUCCCUUUUGAAGUGUCCAAGUUUUCCACAGUGAUAGCAUUUGUUAUUGCUUUUAUCCCUUGACUUGGACCUACCUCUUGAUUUAGAUUUGAACCUCUUAUUCAACGAAUGGUUCUCUCUUUUAUCAGUUCUCCCUCUAACAAACAGGUUCUCUUCUCUAGGGUUAAUUCUUGUUUCCUUUUUAACCUCCAACUCCCUAGAUCUUAGGGCAUUUGUCACAAUUGUUUGUGUUAAGACAUCUCUUGAAUAUUUUAUUGCAUUUCGGAUAUCUUUAUAAGAUUCGGGUAGUGAAUUUAGAAGGAUCACAGCCAGAUCUUCAUCCUCAAAUUUCUUAUCGUUAUGUGAAAGACUCUUUACAAGAAUGCUAAAGUCACUGAGAUUAGAUUCUAAGUCUUUUCCAGGAUCCAUUUUGAAGCUAAACAAUUUUUCCAACAGGUAGAUCUUAUUAUACAGUGUUUUAGUUAAGAACAAAGUAUCUAGGGCUUUCCACAAGGCUCGAGCAGUUUUAUGUUCUUCAACUUGUCUCACUAUGUUAUCAGACAAAUGCAGUAUAAUUGAACUAUAUGCUAUUUGAUUCAUAUCUUCAAUUUCAGUAGGCUUAGCUUUCAAUUCAUCAGGAAACUUUUCAGGAUCAUCAAGGGCUUUUGCAACCCUUUGUUGGACCAAAAUGGCCCUCAUUUUCUGUUUCCAUAUAUAGUAAUCACCCUUUCCAUCGAAUUGACUUAAUUCGACCUUCGAACCCAUUGCGGGUUUUGUAAAAGGAUUGUUACUCAAGGACAUAAGUGAUUUAAUUCAAGAAAUCACUUAAGCUACAGAAAAAGUUUUUGAAAUUUUUUUUUGCAGAUAAUUGACAAGUAAGCUGACCCGAAAACAAGCAGACAAUAAUCCAAUAUAUACUGAUCAAAAAACACAGUAACUAAAAAAUUUCAGAUUUCCAAAAAAUUUGGUACCAAUCAAUAAGAUUCCAGAAAAAUGAAAUUUCCUAAAAACGUUUUCCUAUCACAAUUAAACACAAUAUUCAGUUUCUUUGAAUGAUACAAUCACAAUAACAUGCUUGAAAUCAGAUUCAACAUUUAUAUCAAGCAAAGGACAACAGUGUUUAAUUGUUAAAGAUCUCGCCAAAAAUACUGUGUAAUACAGUAUCUAAAAAAUGCAGUUUCGGUUUUUGCAGAUAGGGGUCCGAAACCCUAGCUUCCAAGAAUCACUAUAUUUCACUUUUUAAAAACUGCACAAGUGAAGUAAAUGUGUUAAUACGAUAAGAGAUUAAACUGUAUCCAAAUAUACCUUACCUCACGGCCUUAUAGGCUCUGAUACCAGAUUUGUUAGGAAAUUCGUACCCCAACACCCAAAAACACAUCAAGCACAAUACAAAUAUAAAGUGCAAGAAAAUAAGAACACAAGAAUGGUCACCCAGUUCGGCCUUGAAGGCUUAAUCUGGGGGGCUCAGGUCAGCCCAAUCCACUAGUGCAAUUCUGCCUCACUAAGAGAGUGUACAGUACAUAGAACCAAGAUCAAUCAUCGACCCUAAAAUUGGAUCUCAAAUCUGGACAUAAACUCACAGCUUCCUCCCUAACCGGCUACAACUACAAAAACAAGACAGAUCACGUAUACAAGACCGUCCUCUACUUACUAUAGUAUUUACAUUUAACCAGAAUCAUCCAAAUGGAGAAACAAUCUCCAGAUUCAACAAGCCAAGAAAGGGAGAAGAAGAGUCGACCAACAGAGAGAGAAAAAAGGAGAUAUUAUCAAAACCGUAUGAAAUAAUAAUACCACCCUUCUAGCUGAUUAUCAAAACUAAGGGCCAACUCUAGUUUAAUCUCCACCAUUCAUUUAAUCCAAUGGUCCACUUCCAACCAGAAUAAACACAGAUCUGGGUCAUAUCAAAUACACGAAUCAGGAGCUGCCACGUGAUAUCUACCAACUUAAAAUAC
RNAcentral lists this long non-coding RNA (6158 nucleotides) under Olea europaea (common olive). RNAcentral describes it as "long non-coding RNA (OEUR_LNC005311)". The record is from RNAcentral. Lineage: Eukaryota; Viridiplantae; Streptophyta; Magnoliopsida; Lamiales; Oleaceae.